This 244-nucleotide ribosomal RNA is filed under the name uncultured Staphylococcus sp. Its description in RNAcentral is "partial 16S ribosomal RNA". It matches the Rfam family "Bacterial small subunit ribosomal RNA", at positions 96 to 334 of the family's 1533-position model. Lineage: Bacteria; Bacillati; Bacillota; Bacilli; Caryophanales; Staphylococcaceae. The record is from RNAcentral.
CGGCGGACGGGUGAUUAACACGUGGAUAACCUACCUAUAAGACUGGGAUAACUUCGGGAAACCGGAGCUAAUACCGGAUAACAUGUUGAACCGCAUGGUUCAACAGUGAAAGACGGUUUUGCUGUCACUUAUAGAUGGAUCCGCGCCGCAUUAGCUAGUUGGUAAGGUAACGGCUUACCAAGGCAACGAUGCGUAGCCGACCUGAGAGGGUGAUCGGCCACACUGGAACUGAGACACGGUCCAG